Molecule: ribosomal RNA, 254 nt
Filed under: uncultured bacterium
Lineage: Bacteria
Description: partial 16S ribosomal RNA
Rfam family: Bacterial small subunit ribosomal RNA
Source: RNAcentral
UACGAAGGGGACUAGCGUUGUUCGGAAUCACUGGGCGUAAAGCGCACGUAGGCGGUUCGGCAAGUCGGAUGUGAAAUCUCCACGCUUAACGUGGAGGGGCCAUUCGAAACUGCUGUGACUCGAGUCCGGUAGGGGAGUGUGGAAUUCCCGGUGUAGCGGUGAAAUGCGCAGAUAUCAGGAAGAACACCAAUGGCGAAGGCAGCUCUCUGGGACGGUACUGACACUGAGACGCGAAAGCGUGGGGAGCGAACAGG